CCUGGUGGCAUUACCGCAGUGGUCCCACCCGUACCCAUUCCGAACACGGCCGUGAAACGCUGCAGGGCCGAUGGUAGUGCCUGUCUAGCUUGCGCGAGAGUAGGUCGCCGCCAGGG
RNAcentral lists this ribosomal RNA (116 nucleotides) under Verrucomicrobiota bacterium. Lineage: Bacteria; Pseudomonadati; Verrucomicrobiota. The record is from RNAcentral.